Molecule: long non-coding RNA, 482 nt
Organism: Rosa rugosa (rugosa rose)
Lineage: Eukaryota; Viridiplantae; Streptophyta; Magnoliopsida; Rosales; Rosaceae
Exons: 5
Source: RefSeq, a predicted model, not a curated record
ACCAGAGUGUAGGCUGAGUUCCUUAUUUACUGGCUAUCAUUCUUAUGGGUGCCAACAAUAGCAAAGACAUACAUUUAAUCAAGCUUUGUGAGGUAUUACUUUAUGGCACAAGAAGCUUAUAGCAGAAAGAGCAUAUUCAGGCAUUCUGAGUCACCAAGUAAUUAUCAGCCACAAUCGUGAAUCGUAGCUGGUUCUGAAGGUAUCGAAGGCUUCAACCUGCUCAUGGAAAUGGGGUGUGUAUAUUAGCAAUAUGUACAACUUCAUGAGAGGUUUGCUUCAUUUUGUCAGUGAAAGCAAACCAGAAAAUAAUGCCAGCAAGGAUGUAAAUGUAGGUUGCAAAUAACAUGCAAAGAGACCUGCAGGGGAACAAGCUAACUGAUCAAAUCCCGGAUGAGAUUGACUCUCUGUUAAAUUUUGUUUUGAUGUUUCUAUGCCUCUCUUUUGGACAACAGACUUCAGUAGUCUAUGCAUUGUUAUUGUGU